RNAcentral lists this ribosomal RNA (2646 nucleotides) under Triticum aestivum (bread wheat). RNAcentral's name for it is "partial small subunit ribosomal RNA". The record is from RNAcentral. Lineage: Eukaryota; Viridiplantae; Streptophyta; Magnoliopsida; Poales; Poaceae.
AUGGAUCACCAAUCUGUUAUUACACCAUGGGACCUGGAGUGCAUGCUAUGUGAUGAAACAGCAGAGCCGAAGGCCUUGCCGCUAUCGCUUCUGAAAAAAAUCACACAUGAUUUCUCUGAUAAGCAGGCAAUUGGUAGAGGUGGAUUCGCGGUGGUUUAUAAGGGAAUGCUUGAGAAUAGAACCGUGGCCGUGAAGAGAAUGUCGAAUACGUAUAUGUACGAGAAGGAGUUCCAGCGAGAAGUUGAAUGUCUCAUGAUAGCGAAGCACAAAAAUGUAGUACGGUUUCUAGGAUAUUGUGCUGACACACAAGGGAAUAUGGCAAGGUAUGAAGGAAAAUUCGUCAUGGCAGAUGUCCAGCAAAGGUUGCUAUGUUUCGAGUAUCUUCCUAAAGGGAGUCUUCAUGAGUAUAUCACUGAUAUGUCUUGUGGACUUCAGUGGAGAGACCGCUAUCAGAUUAUCACGGGAAUUUGUCAAGGGUUACAUUAUCUUCAUCAUAAACAUAUUGUCCACUUAGAUCUAAAGCCCGCAAAUAUAUUGUUGGAUGAUGAUUGGGUACCAAAAAUUACCGAUUUCGGCAUAUCAAGGUGCUUUCAUGAAAUGCAAAGCCAAGUUAUUACUAAAAUAGCUGGAACGCCCGGAUAUUUGGCACCAGAAUCUUAUAACCAUACUAAAGUCACAUACCGGCAUUCGUACCGGCUUGAUAUCUACAGUCUUGGUAUAGUAAUCAUAGAGAUACUCACUGGAAAUAAGGGGUAUCACGAUGUUGACAAGGUAGUUGAAAGUUGGAGUAACAUGUUGGAGCAAUCACAGAGCGAGGUACAGAAGAAACAAAUACGAGUAUGUGCUCAGAUAGGAAUAGAGUGCACAAACUUUGACCCGGCGAAGAGACCAGAUACACUACAUAUAAUUAGUAGACUCGAUGAAACCGAAAGUAUGGGCGGAUAUAUCAAAACAGGCAUGAUUACUUCACAACAGGUCGGAGAUGUUCUGAAUAAACUGCAUCAAGAUGCACCUAACACGCCAAGAGAAUCAAGCUCAGAGGAGAAUGCCACUGUAGUUACAGUGGCAGGGACAAACAAAUAUGACAGUUUUUGGAGAAAUAUGGCAAACCUUGACAUGUUCAAUGAGACCAUACAUAGUCUUGAUCCAGACAUCAAGCGAUGCUUUGAAUAUUGCAGUAUUUUUCCCAGAGGAUCCAAGUUGAGAAUGGUCGAGUUAGUUCACCUGUGGAUAGCGCAAGGGUUUGUCAAGAUCAGUUGUGCAACAGAAGACAUGGAAGAAGUAGCUGAGGGCUACUUUCAAGAGUUAGUGUCGCGCUCAUUUCUGCAACCAGAAGAAAGUAGUUAUGAUACCGGUUGCUUCACAAUUCAUGAUGCCCUGCUUGAUUUAUUCGACAAAGUUUCUGGAGAUUGCUUCAGAAUCGAGAAUGGCCAUAGAGGAGAUGGCUGGGAAGGAGAUAUCCGUCAAGAUAUCCAGCAUCUUUUAAUUCGUUAUUAUGAUGGCAAAUUGAUUACUGAGAAGAUCCUUGGAUUGGAAAAUUUGCUCACUCUCAUUGUUUAUAAAGUUGACGCAGCACCAGUUGAGGAAAGAGUGAUCGAGAGUAUAUGCAAGAGACUGCCGAAAUUGCGGGUACUGGCCAUUCCUUUCAUCCUAGAACGUUAUCCGGGGAUGGAACCAAAUGAGUUGUCUGUCCCAGGAUCCAUUACCCAGUUAAAGCACCUACGCUAUCUUGCUUUCAGGACAAAUAGAGCAUGCAUGUUAAGCAUACCAAGAGCACCAAAUAAACAUCACCGUGUCCAGGUGCUAGAUUUUGGUGAUGGCAAAUUGGAUGAGUUUAACUGUGUUGACCUUAUCAACCUGCGCCACAUAAAUUCCGGCUCAUCGCAGUUCCCAUUUCGUAACAUAAGCAGGCUGACCUCACUCCAAACGAUAGCAUGUGCCUUCAGAAUAAGGGAUGCACCAGGAUAUGAGGUAAAGCAGCUGAGGGACCUAAACAAGCUUCGCGGCAGUCUGGAGAUAAAUGGUCUUGAAAUUGUUAAAAGCAAGGAGGAAGCUCUUGAAUCCAAACUAGCUGCCAAGGAACGGCUCAGCGAACUGAAACUGCAGUGGAGGCACAGUUCGCCAGAAGUCCAAGCAGAGGUACUUGAGGGCCUGUGCCCUCCCGUGGCGCUUCAAACACUGGAACUGCAUUGCUACAAUGGCUCGAGGUACCCAGAUUGGAUGGUUGGUAAGCCGGACGGUGGCCCAAAGGAGCUGCAAGAACUUUUGUUCUGGAGUUGCUCCCAACUAGAGCAUGCUCCUGAGGCUUUCCCUCAUCUGCGUGUGCUCAAGCUUGCAUACUGUAAUUGGGACGCCUUACCAGGCAAUAUGGAGCACCUCACAUCACUCAAGAAACUGGAGAUCGAGUGGUGCUCCGAAAUCCGGUCGCUUCCAACACUGCCCCAGUCUCUUGAGGAGUUUUCUGUUGAGUGGUGCAAUGAUGGGUUUAUGAAGUCUUGUCAAAUAUUCGGGCAUCCAAACUGGCAAAAGAUUGAGCACAUCCCCAGGAAAACAAUCGAAGGCCUAGCACCUAUGCAGGAAGUGGGAAUCAAGAUUCGGUCCGGCAUCAAUCUCCUGACAAGCUUUUGGCAUCGCAAGAAAGUAUGA